UGAAAAAAAAAACAUUGUAACACUGUAAUAUACUUAAACCAUAAACUUCAGACGGUACAGAAUGCUGCAGCCAGAGUUCUAACAAACACUAAAAAAUUUGAUCAUAUUACACCGGUCUUAUCCUCUCUUCGUUGGCUGCCAGUUAAGUCUCGAAUUGACUAUAAAAUACUGCUAUUAACUUAUAAAGCACUAAAUGGCCUUGCACCAGAAUACCUUAGUGAUCUGCUGACCACAUACAACCCUCCAUGCUUGCUUCGAUCUCAAGCCAUGGGAUAUCUGCUAGUGCCUUGGGUAGAAAGAGCUACGGCAGGCUGCAGAGCUUUCUCCUACAAAGCUCCUCAGCUGUGGAAUGGUCUUCCACCGGAUGUGCGGGUUUCAGGCUCACUCUCAAUAUUCAAGUCCAGACUAAAAACACACCUGUUUAGUUUAGCGUAUAGGGACACUAGUUCUAGCCCUAGCUAACUCUUCACUCCCAGUCAGACCUGUAGUGUGAGGUGUAGAGCUGGGUGGGGAUCGGUGCCAUUGGCUUUGGAUAAACUGGACUGUCAGUGCUGUCACUCUAGCUUCGCAAUCUCUUGUGGAACUGGAGUGCUGACAUUUCAGGGACUCCCCAUGCCUGCAUUCCCACUUGCCCCUCCCUCCUACUGAUGCUGCCAUAGCCAUAUCUGCCGGAGCUUGCAGAUUGCACUUCAUAUUGCACUCACCUAGCUUUUAGCACUGCCAAUAGCCUCCUCUACUUUGCCUAAUUGUACAUUUUAUUUCCCCUACUCCUCCUGGGGGGUGAUGCCUGGAGACCUCAAUCUAUCAAGAUAUCCAGCACACCCGGCCACAUGUGACGUCGCCACCACCAGUGACGUCCCUGCAUCCAGCUCGCCGUUCUGAUCUUCCAUGUAUGACCCGCUGCCUUACCUCUGGUUGCCUGGCGAUUGGAAGAAGACUCAGCAUCGGCAUUGGCUUGUCAUCUUCCUUGCUCUCCAGUUAUUUCCCAAAUCUUAUGAUUGGGACAAUGUGACUUGGCCCAUCUCUGGCACUUAACCAUCUCUCUAUUUGACUAUCCCUGCCGGCCCCUGGAGGAUGGGCUCCCCCUUUGAGUCUGGUCCCUCCCAAGGUUUCUUCCUUCUAGGGAGUUUUUCCUUGCCACUGUCGCCUAUGGCUUACUCACUGGGGGCUUUGGGUGAGGAUACUGUAAAGCGCUUUGAGACAAUGUAAUGUUGUGAUAAUGCGCUAUAUAAAAAUAAAUUUGUUGUUGUUGUUGUUGUUAA
This is a long non-coding RNA of Brienomyrus brachyistius, 1262 nucleotides long. RefSeq lists it as uncharacterized. Lineage: Eukaryota; Metazoa; Chordata; Actinopteri; Osteoglossiformes; Mormyridae. The record is from RefSeq and is a predicted model, not a curated record. The transcript has 2 exons.